GUGAGGAAUAUUGGUCAAUGGGCGGGAGCCUGAACCAGCCAAGUCGCGUGAAGGAAGAAGGAUCUAUGGUUCGUAAACUUCUUUUGCAGGGGAAUAAAGUGCAGGACGUGUCCUGUUUUGUAUGUACCCUGAGAAUAAGGAUCGGCUAACUCCGUGCCAGCAGCCGCGGUAAUACGGAGGAUCCGAGCGUUAUCCGGAUUUAUUGGGUUUAAAGGGUGCGUAGGUGGUUUGAUAAGUCAGCGGUGAAAGUUUGCAGCUUAACUGUAAAAAUGCCGUUGAAUCUGUCGGACUUGAGUGUAAAUGAGGUAGGCGGAAUGCGUGGUGUAGCGGUGAAAUGCAUAGAUAUCACGCAGAACUCCGAUUGCGAAGGCAGCUUACUAAGCUACAACUGACACUGAAGCACGAAAGCGUGGGGAUCAAACAGGAUUAGAAACCCCGGUAGUCC
This 445-nucleotide ribosomal RNA is filed under the name uncultured bacterium. Its description in RNAcentral is "partial 16S ribosomal RNA". It matches the Rfam family "Bacterial small subunit ribosomal RNA", at positions 354 to 796 of the family's 1533-position model. The record is from RNAcentral.